CCAGGGGUUACACCCGCAGCAAAGCAAGGAACAGAUGCCCAAGUUGCAAAGGACAAGAAACCAGAAACUCCUGCUACUGUGAGUGAUGCAAAAGCCCCUCCCCAACCUGUAAGUGAUAAGCCUGGAGACCAGAAGUCCACUCCAGCCCCAUCUCAGCCUCAACCAGAGAGUAAAGCUCAAGCUCCACAACCCGCAACAGCAGUCACUCCCCAGGCUCCUG
Non-coding RNA from Pantherophis guttatus, 220 nucleotides. NCBI's taxonomy places the organism in Eukaryota, Metazoa, Chordata, Lepidosauria, Squamata, Colubridae. The record is from RefSeq and is a predicted model, not a curated record.